UAACAAAUCUUCUUUGUGCUAAGAAUUUGGG
This 31-nucleotide non-coding RNA is filed under the name Mus musculus (house mouse). Lineage: Eukaryota; Metazoa; Chordata; Mammalia; Rodentia; Muridae. The record is from RNAcentral.